RNAcentral lists this long non-coding RNA (1069 nucleotides) under Homo sapiens (human). RNAcentral's name for it is "novel transcript". Lineage: Eukaryota; Metazoa; Chordata; Mammalia; Primates; Hominidae. The record is from RNAcentral.
ACCACCACAGGUCCUUAGUGACUGAACCAGUACUAGCAAUGGUCUCCUAACUUGCAGGGUUGAAUUCUCCCUUCCAUUCGACCACAGCUAUCUCAGAGAUCUUGAGGCAGGAGAAUAAGUGCUUUUUUAAUGCCAUAUGUAGGCAAAUUACAAAUAAACAAAACCAAGAAGAAAAAUGUAAGCUGUGGGCUGAUGACAUUGCUUAGCAAAAAAUGAGUCUCACACACAGGCGGCUGCACUCCAGAUUUCAAUUUAAUUCACUUUCCACAAGCAACAAGAGCAAGAAUAAUAUGCUUCAAUGUAGGGAGAUCAGAGAAGAGAAGCUUCACUGCAUUUUGAGACCGAGAAUGACUGAAUGAGGUGGCAGUGGUGGCAGCCGCUGCUCAUCACAAGAUGGAGAAAGGCUGGAAAAUGAAAUGGAAGUUGAAAGUGGUUGUUGUGAGUCAGGCUCCGACUAUGGUGACCUGUCUUGCUGUGAGAAUACACAUGGAAACCAGCCUUCCACAGAGCCAAACAUAGACAUGUCUGUAAUCUCUGGACACUAAGAAAUAAGCUUCUUACAGACAGAAUCUGGAAAGAUGUCUGCCAAGAGUGGGGAUGCAGGGACUAGAAAACAAAAGCAAAGCCCAUCUUUCACUGGAGCAUGUCUGCACAAACAUUCUGCUGACUGACGAUAGACAUACAAGUUGUGAAUACACUUAAAAUGUAUGAGUGUGAAAAGUGUCUACAUACAAUUAUUAUCUAUUAUUUACUUGUUAUUUAUUUAUUAUUUACUGAAAUCCUACUUUGUCAGGCAUCAGGCUAAGUGCCUUAUUACAUUAUGUGAUUCAUUCUCCAUAAUAACCAUUUGAUGUAGAAGCUAUCAUUUUCACAAUUUUUCAUAUGGGGAAACCAAGGCCUAGAAAAGAAAAGUUCUUCCUUGGCAAGUAACCAUUUUUAAAGAGAAAAGAAUUUUAUCCCAGAAGAAAACAUUUUAUCUCUGUUCAUGUGAAUGAAAUAUACACAUAUAUUUAUAUUUACAUCAAAGGUGAGUAAAACUUUAUGAAAAAUAAAGUUAGGCUUUACAAGC